CGUGAUGGGGUGGCCGCAAGGCUGGAAGCAACUGAUUUCACACUGUCAAGAAAAGCCGCUAGCGAGAUCGUAGGUGCCCGUACCGCAAACCGACACAGGUAGAUGAGGAGAGAAUCCUAAGGUGAGCGAGAGAACUAUUGUUAAGGAACUCGGCAAAAUAACCCCGUAACUUCGGGAGAAGGGGUGCUCCGGAAACGGAGCCGCAGUGAAAAGUCCCAGGCGACUGUUUACCAAAAACACAGGUCUCUGCGAAAGCGAAAGCUGAAGUAUAGGGGCUGACGCCUGCCCGGUGCUGGAAGGUUAAGGGGAUGUGUAAGGGCAACCGAAGCACCGAACUUAAGCCCCAGUAAACGGCGGCCGUAACUAUAACGGUCCUAAGGUAGCGAAAUUCCUUGUCGGGUAAGUUCCGACCCGCACGAAAGGCGUAACGAUCUGGGAACUGUCUCAACAAUAGACUCGGUGAAAUUGUAGUACCGGUAAAGAUGCCGGUUACCCGCAGCAGGACGGAAAGACCCCAUGGAGCUUUACUGUAGCUUGAUAUUGAGUUUCGGCGUUGCAUGUACAGGAUAGGUGGGAGACAGAGAAGUAAGUACGCCAGUAUUUAUGGAGUCAAUGUUGGGAUACCACCCUUGUAACGUUGAAGUUCUAACGGUGUGCCGUGAACCGGCAUCCGGACAGUGUCAGGUGGGCAGUUUGACUGGGGCGGUCGCCUCCUAAAGAGUAACGGAGGCGCCCAAAGGUUCCCUCAGCGCGGACGGAAAUCGCGCGAAGAGUGUAAAGGCAGAAGGGAGCUUGACUGCGAGACAUACAGGUCGAGCAGGGACGAAAGUCGGGCUUAGUGAUCCGGUGGUACCGAGUGGAAGGGCCAUCGCUCAACGGAUAAAAGCUACCCUGGGGAUAACAGGCUGAUACCGCCCAAGAGUUCACAUCGACGGCGGUGUUUGGCACCUCGAUGUCGGCUCGUCUCAUCCUGGGGCUGAAGUAGGUCCCAAGGGUUGGGCUGUUCGCCCAUUAAAGAGGUACGCGAGCUGGGUUCAGAACGUCGUGAGACAGUUCGGUCCCUAUCCGCUGUGGGCGUUGGAAAUUUGAGUGGAGCUGUCCUUAGUACGAGAGGACCGGGAUGGACGCAGCUCUGGUGCACCAGUUGUUCUGCCAAGAGCAUAGCUGGGUAGCUACCUGCGGACGGGUUAAGCGCUGAAAGCAUCU
Molecule: ribosomal RNA, 1206 nt
Filed under: metagenome
Description: bacterial LSU rRNA
Rfam family: Bacterial large subunit ribosomal RNA
Source: RNAcentral